UCAAGGUCUUGAUGUGCAUAGCUUCU
Molecule: non-coding RNA, 26 nt
Filed under: Macaca fascicularis (crab-eating macaque)
Lineage: Eukaryota; Metazoa; Chordata; Mammalia; Primates; Cercopithecidae
Also listed under: 1 other name
Source: RNAcentral